UACGACGGAAAACUUCAAAUCAACUUCGACCUAGCUCUGUUUCCUUCGAAAUCCAUGAAUCCGGUCCAGUUUGCUUCUCUCUUCUUCCGUUUCUUCACGAUUUCGGCUUGUAUUGCUUACGUUGAUGAUGAUGACGAGUUUGGUUCGUCUCUGUUAGUGUAUGGUGAUGAAUUUCGAUUUCGAAUUGUGUGGUGUUGAGAUCUUAUGGCCGAAUUUGUGAUGUUAUGUGACUUGUUUUAUGAUGAUUUUGUGAGAAAGUGUUUUUGUUGGUUUAAUAUUAUGAAGAAUUUUGGUUCCUGGAAUGGAAGAGGUUAAUGUUCAUGAUGAACAACUGUGAACAUUCAUGAUGAUUAUUGUGUAUUUUUUUAUUUUUGAUCUGAAAAAGUUGAGAGAGAUGAAAGAUUAGGGUUUCUGAUGGUGAUUGCUGCGGCUGCUACAGUGAUUUUUCAGACCCUCUUCCCAAUGAUUGGACAGUGUAUUUAUAGUGACAAAAUAGGGUUGGCUCUGGUACAGAUCAAAGACCAAAAUACCCCUGCAGCUGAGACUUGGAGAAAAAGACUUGACAAAA
Molecule: long non-coding RNA, 568 nt
Filed under: Medicago truncatula (barrel medic)
Lineage: Eukaryota; Viridiplantae; Streptophyta; Magnoliopsida; Fabales; Fabaceae
Description: long non-coding RNA (MTRU_LNC000251)
Source: RNAcentral